Molecule: ribosomal RNA, 116 nt
Filed under: Puniceicoccales bacterium
Lineage: Bacteria; Pseudomonadati; Verrucomicrobiota; Opitutia; Puniceicoccales
Source: RNAcentral
GCUAGUGGACAUAGGCGAAGUGAAAUACACGUUCCCACCCCGAACACGUUCGCUAAGCCUUCAGCCGUCGAUGGUAGUGCGGCUAUGCUACCAUGCGAGGGUGCCGUUCAUUUUUU